UACAGAGGGUGCGAGCGUUGUCCGGAAUCACUGGGCGUAAAGGGCGCGUAGGUGGCGGGAUAAGCGUGUGGUGAAAGUCCGGGGCUCAACUCCGGAUCGGCCGUGCGUACUGUCUUGCUUGAGCGUAGUAGAGGCAGGUGGAAUUCCGGGUGUAGCGGUGGAAUGCGUAGAGAUCCGGAAGAACACCGGUGGCGAAGGCGGCCUGCUGGGCUACUGCUGACACUGAUGCGCGACAGCGUGGGGAGCAAACAGG
Molecule: ribosomal RNA, 253 nt
Filed under: uncultured bacterium
Lineage: Bacteria
Description: partial 16S ribosomal RNA
Rfam family: Bacterial small subunit ribosomal RNA
Source: RNAcentral